CAAACAUUCUAUAAGCCAGUGCCAAAGGCAAUAAGUCAUUUGAACUUUGCCUGUGCUGACGACUCCCUGCAGACUUCUCACCGAAUCUCACCUACGGUACCACUGAUAUCAUGAAGACCCUUUAUGUUGUCAUACUCGCAGCUUUGGUGGUUGUGGUGAUGUCACGCGCUCGUCAUCCGAAAAUACCCUUAUCGCCGCUCAAAGAAAAGCUGGCCGAUCUUGGGAUAGAAAUGAAUGGCAAAGAGAUAAGGGAUUUUCAGAGAGAUCCCGCUUGCAACGACGUGUGUUAUGACAAUUGUGAGGAAGAAGUGGAAGCUGGUGAGGCGACAGACUGCAACCAUUGCUGUGAAUAAUAUGUACCCAAAUAUUUUAGGUUUUGUUCCGCAGACCUGGUAUCGUGGAAAUACCAAGGAUUCACGGAGUUUCUUUGCUUUCGACUUUGUAACUCACAGUGUGUAUAGGUGUGUGAACGUAGUUUAUUCAACAGGCGCGAAGAUUGAAAACAGAAUAGCUGUAGUUAAAGGGGGUUUAUGCAAUGUUUGCUUGUUACAUCUAAAAAUGGUUCAUAAUACAAUGACUUUCAAAAGAGCAUCAAUUCACUUCUGCAUGGCAGGCUCUAACCUAGAGUAUGAUUUAAUUUGAUAAAAUCUGAGUGAUUAACGUCUUACUUGAAUGUGAUUUUUUAGAUUUGCAAUUUCCUUUGGAUACUGAGAUAGAUUUCUCACGUCUCGUCAAUACCAUACCGUCACUUCCAACUUCGUGAGGAGGUUGGUGUGUUUUUGCCCUGUUAUCUCCAUCAUUUUCACCAACAACAGACGUGGAACGCCCCUCAAAAUGAACUUAACCAAGUUACAGAUCUUUAACCUUUUCACCCUUAAGAGUGACCAGAAUUUAAUUUCUCCUCUAAAUAUCACCCCAGAAUCACAGAUUAAGGUCAUGAGAAUAAAGGCAAUGAUCACCAACUGGAGAGGCUCUGGAUUGUUCAACAAAUUCUCCUUGUCAGCAUCCUAGGAAAUGUAUAGAGAACAGUAUGGAGAAUAUGCAUACUGAUGUUAGGGUGUAAAGGGUUACAAGGACGAUUCGAUUGAGGCCUUGAGCUGCUGUAUUUCUUUAUUAUUCCAAGCUUUGCCGAUCUACGACAUCGUCACUGAAUGUAAAGAAAACGUUUUACUAUGCGUGAUAUAAAAGCGACGUAAGUGAUACGAUUAAUUAGAAUAUAUGAGUUGGCCAAUUGUGGCGAUGUUAACUCAAAACUUGUUAGGAUUGGAAUCUAUAAGAAUAAAAUAUGUU
Molecule: long non-coding RNA, 1290 nt
Organism: Pocillopora damicornis (cauliflower coral)
Lineage: Eukaryota; Metazoa; Cnidaria; Anthozoa; Scleractinia; Pocilloporidae
Source: RefSeq, a predicted model, not a curated record